Molecule: ribosomal RNA, 1926 nt
Filed under: Pseudomonas aeruginosa
Lineage: Bacteria; Pseudomonadati; Pseudomonadota; Gammaproteobacteria; Pseudomonadales; Pseudomonadaceae
Description: bacterial LSU rRNA
Rfam family: Bacterial large subunit ribosomal RNA
Source: RNAcentral
GGGAAACAACCCAGACCGCCAGCUAAGGUCCCAAAGUUGUGGUUAAGUGGUAAACGAUGUGGGAAGGCUUAGACAGCUAGGAGGUUGGCUUAGAAGCAGCCAUCCUUUAAAGAAAGCGUAAUAGCUCACUAGUCGAGUCGGCCUGCGCGGAAGAUGUAACGGGGCUCAAACCACACACCGAAGCUGCGGGUGUCACGUAAGUGACGCGGUAGAGGAGCGUUCUGUAAGCCUGUGAAGGUGAGUUGAGAAGCUUGCUGGAGGUAUCAGAAGUGCGAAUGCUGACAUGAGUAACGACAAUGGGUGUGAAAAACACCCACGCCGAAAGACCAAGGGUUCCUGCGCAACGUUAAUCGACGCAGGGUUAGUCGGUUCCUAAGGCGAGGCUGAAAAGCGUAGUCGAUGGGAAACAGGUUAAUAUUCCUGUACUUCUGGUUACUGCGAUGGAGGGACGGAGAAGGCUAGGCCAGCUUGGCGUUGGUUGUCCAAGUUUAAGGUGGUAGGCUGAAAUCUUAGGUAAAUCCGGGGUUUCAAGGCCGAGAGCUGAUGACGAGUCGUCUUUUAGAUGACGAAGUGGUUGAUGCCAUGCUUCCAAGAAAAGCUUCUAAGCUUCAGGUAACCAGGAACCGUACCCCAAACCGACACAGGUGGUCGGGUAGAGAAUACCAAGGCGCUUGAGAGAACUCGGGUGAAGGAACUAGGCAAAAUGGCACCGUAACUUCGGGAGAAGGUGCGCCGGCUAGGGUGAAGGAUUUACUCCGUAAGCUCUGGCUGGUCGAAGAUACCAGGCCGCUGCGACUGUUUAUUAAAAACACAGCACUCUGCAAACACGAAAGUGGACGUAUAGGGUGUGACGCCUGCCCGGUGCCGGAAGGUUAAUUGAUGGGGUUAGCGCAAGCGAAGCUCUUGAUCGAAGCCCCGGUAAACGGCGGCCGUAACUAUAACGGUCCUAAGGUAGCGAAAUUCCUUGUCGGGUAAGUUCCGACCUGCACGAAUGGCGUAACGAUGGCGGCGCUGUCUCCACCCGAGACUCAGUGAAAUUGAAAUCGCUGUGAAGAUGCAGUGUAUCCGCGGCUAGACGGAAAGACCCCGUGAACCUUUACUGUAGCUUUGCACUGGACUUUGAGCCUGCUUGUGUAGGAUAGGUGGGAGGCUUUGAAGCGUGGACGCCAGUUCGCGUGGAGCCAUCCUUGAAAUACCACCCUGGCAUGCUUGAGGUUCUAACUCUGGUCCGUAAUCCGGAUCGAGGACAGUGUAUGGUGGGCAGUUUGACUGGGGCGGUCUCCUCCUAAAGAGUAACGGAGGAGUACGAAGGUGCGCUCAGACCGGUCGGAAAUCGGUCGCAGAGUAUAAAGGCAAAAGCGCGCUUGACUGCGAGACAGACACGUCGAGCAGGUACGAAAGUAGGUCUUAGUGAUCCGGUGGUUCUGUAUGGAAGGGCCAUCGCUCAACGGAUAAAAGGUACUCCGGGGAUAACAGGCUGAUACCGCCCAAGAGUUCAUAUCGACGGCGGUGUUUGGCACCUCGAUGUCGGCUCAUCACAUCCUGGGGCUGAAGCCGGUCCCAAGGGUAUGGCUGUUCGCCAUUUAAAGUGGUACGCGAGCUGGGUUUAGAACGUCGUGAGACAGUUCGGUCCCUAUCUGCCGUGGACGUUUGAGAUUUGAGAGGGGCUGCUCCUAGUACGAGAGGACCGGAGUGGACGAACCUCUGGUGUUCCGGUUGUCACGCCAGUGGCAUUGCCGGGUAGCUAUGUUCGGAAAAGAUAACCGCUGAAAGCAUCUAAGCGGGAAACUUGCCUCAAGAUGAGAUCUCACUGGGAACUUGAUUCCCCUGAAGGGCCGUCGAAGACUACGACGUUGAUAGGCUGGGUGUGUAAGCGUUGUGAGGCGUUGAGCUAACCAGUACUAAUUGCCCGUGAGGCUUGACCAU